GACGAACGCUGGCGGCGUGCUUAACACAUGCAAGUCGAACGGAAAGGCCCUGCUUUUGUGGGGUGCUCGAGUAGCGAACGGGUGAGUAACACGUGAGUAACCUGCCCUUGACUUUGGGAUAACUUCAGGAAACUGGGGCUAAUACCGGAUAGGAGCUCCUGCUGCAUGGUGGGGGUUGGAAAGUUUCGGCGGUUGGGGAUGGACUCGCGGCUUAUCAGCUUGUUGGUGGGGUAGUGGCUUACCAAGGCUUUGACGGGUAGCCGGCCUGAGAGGGUGACCGGCCACAUUGGGACUGAGAUACGGCCCAGACUCCUACGGGAGGCAGCAGUGGGGAAUAUUACAUAAUGGGCGGAAGCCUGAUGCAGCAACGCCGCGUGCGGGAUGACGGCCUUCGGGUUGUAAACCGCUUUCGCCUGUGACGAAGCGUGAGUGACGGUAAUGGGUAAAGAAGCACCGGCUAACUACGUG
RNAcentral lists this ribosomal RNA (468 nucleotides) under uncultured bacterium. Its description in RNAcentral is "partial 16S ribosomal RNA". It matches the Rfam family "Bacterial small subunit ribosomal RNA", at positions 28 to 507 of the family's 1533-position model. The record is from RNAcentral.